This is a non-coding RNA of Cinara cedri, 273 nucleotides long. The record is from the annotation of a GenBank genome assembly. Lineage: Eukaryota; Metazoa; Arthropoda; Insecta; Hemiptera; Aphididae.
AAAUCUAAUACUAUUAAGGUUGGAACGUUUUACAAGUUUUCCUCUUAAAACAAUCGUAACUUUUUCUUCUGAAUGGGUAUCAGUCGGUAUUAUAAUAGUAGACAAGUCGCACGUUCAAUAAGAUUGUCAUUGAAAAGUUCUGUUUAAUUUUUACGAAAUUGGAGGAAUUGUGUGAAAUCGGGCCGAUAGUGACUCAACGAAGGAAAAAGCUGUCAUUCGUUGCUGUGUUAUAUUAUAAUACAGUCACAUCGACGUUCGCUUGAACGGUGUUAA